GCGUGCCUACCAUGCAAGUCGUACGAGAAAAUCCGCUUCGGCGGGUGAGUAGAGUGGCGCACGGGUGCGUAACGCGUGGAUAAUCUGCCUUUAAGCCGGGAAUAACCCAUCGAAAGGUGGGCUAAUACCCGAUAAUACUAUGGUGCUUUGGCAUCAUAGCCAAAGAGAGCCUCUACAUGUAAGCCCUCGCUUAGAGAUGAGUCCGCGUACCAUUAGCUAGUUGGUAGGGUAAUGGCCUACCAAGGCGACGAUGGUUAGCUGGUCUGAGAGGAUGAUCAGCCACACUGGAACUGAGACACGGUCCAGACUCCUACGGGAGGCAGCGUUGAGGAAUAUUGCGCAAUGGGGGCAACGCUGUACGCAGCAACGCCGCGUGAGCGAGGAACGUUUUCGGAUCGUAAAGCUCUGUCGGGUGGGAAGAAAUGUGCGGAGGU
RNAcentral lists this ribosomal RNA (434 nucleotides) under uncultured bacterium. Its description in RNAcentral is "bacterial SSU rRNA". It matches the Rfam family "Bacterial small subunit ribosomal RNA", at positions 42 to 461 of the family's 1533-position model. The record is from RNAcentral.